UACGGAGGGAGCGAGCGUUGUCCGAAGUUACUGGGCGUAAAGCGCGCGUAGGCGGGAAAUUAAGUGAGAAGUGAAAGGCUGGGGCUUAACCCCAUGCAGUGCUCCUCAUACUGGUUUUCUUGAGGGUGGUAGAGAGAAGUGGAAUGGCUGGUGUAGCGGUGAAAUGCGUAGAUAUCAGUCGGAACACCAGUGGCGAAGGCGGCUUCUUGGGCCAUUACUGACGCUGAGGAGCGAAAGCGUGGGGAGCGAACAGG
RNAcentral lists this ribosomal RNA (254 nucleotides) under uncultured bacterium. RNAcentral describes it as "partial 16S ribosomal RNA". It matches the Rfam family "Bacterial small subunit ribosomal RNA", at positions 524 to 776 of the family's 1533-position model. The record is from RNAcentral.